GUGGGGAAUCUUGCGCAAUGGGCGAAAGCCUGACGCAGCCAUGCCGCGUGAAUGAUGAAGGUCUUAGGAUUGUAAAAUUCUUUCACCGGGGACGAUAAUGACGGUACCCGGAGAAGAAGCUCCGGCUAACUUCGUGCCAGCAGCCGCGGUAAUACGAAGGGGGCUAGCGUUGCUCGGAAUUACUGGGCGUAAAGGGCGCGUAGGCGGACAGCUUAGUCAGAGGUGAAAGCCCAGGGCUCAACCUUGGAAUUGCCUUUGAUACUGGCUGUCUUGAGUUUGGGAGAGGUGAGUGGAACUCCGAGUGUAGAGGUGAAAUUCGUUGAUAUUCGGAAGAACACCAGUGGCGAAGGCGACUCACUGGCCCAAUACUGACGCUGAGGUGCGAAAGCGUGGGGAGCAAACAGGAUUAGAUACCCGGGUAGUCC
RNAcentral lists this ribosomal RNA (425 nucleotides) under uncultured bacterium. Its description in RNAcentral is "partial 16S ribosomal RNA". It matches the Rfam family "Bacterial small subunit ribosomal RNA", at positions 354 to 796 of the family's 1533-position model. The record is from RNAcentral.